AUACGGAGGUGGCGAGCGUUGCCCGGAAUCACUGGGCGUAAAGGGGGCGUAGGCGGCCGGACGGGUCGGACGUGAAAGCCCGGGGCUCAACCCCGGAAUUGCGUUCGAUACUGUCUGGCUUGAGGUCCGGAGAGGCCGGCGGAAUUCCCGGUGUAGGGGUGAAAUCCGUAGAUAUCGGGAGGAACACCGGUGGCGAAGGCGGCCGGCUGGACGGCACCUGACGCUGAGGCCCGAAAGCGUGGGGAGCAAACCGGAUUAGAAACCCUAGUAGUCC
This 274-nucleotide ribosomal RNA is filed under the name uncultured bacterium. Its description in RNAcentral is "partial 16S ribosomal RNA". It matches the Rfam family "Bacterial small subunit ribosomal RNA", at positions 523 to 796 of the family's 1533-position model. The record is from RNAcentral.